RNAcentral lists this ribosomal RNA (484 nucleotides) under uncultured bacterium. RNAcentral describes it as "partial 16S ribosomal RNA". It matches the Rfam family "Bacterial small subunit ribosomal RNA", at positions 29 to 507 of the family's 1533-position model. The record is from RNAcentral.
AUUGAACGCUGGCGGCAUGCUUUACACAUGCAAGUCGAACGGCAGCGCGGGCUUCGGCCUGGCGGCGAGUGGCGAACGGGUGAGUAAUACAUCGGAACGUGCCCAGUAGUGGGGGAUAGCUCGGCGAAAGCCGGAUUAAUACCGCAUACGACCUGAGGGUGAAAGCGGGGGAUCUUCGGACCUCGCGCUAUUGGAGCGGCCGAUGGCAGAUUAGCUAGUUGGUGGGGUAAAGGCCUACCAAGGCGACGAUCUGUAGCUGGUCUGAGAGGACGACCAGCCACACUGGGACUGAGACACGGCCCAGACUCCUACGGGAGGCAGCAGUGGGGAAUUUUGGACAAUGGACGAAGGCCUGAUCCAGCAAUGCCGCGUGUGUGAUGAAGGCCUUCGGGUUGUAAAGCACUUUUGGCGGGAACGAAAAGGACUGUGCCAAUACCACGGUUCGAUGACGGUACCCGCAGAAUAAGCACCGGCUAACUACGUG